Molecule: long non-coding RNA, 935 nt
Filed under: Brassica napus (rape)
Lineage: Eukaryota; Viridiplantae; Streptophyta; Magnoliopsida; Brassicales; Brassicaceae
Description: long non-coding RNA (BNAP_LNC020283)
Source: RNAcentral
AUUAAUUGAAGACAAAUCUGUAGAAAGAUACGACAAAAAGUUUACGGAUUUUUUUGUGUGGGCAAAAAUUUUAAAACUAAAGCCAUUACCAAUCAAGCGAAGCCCUAGGCGGUUGUCUCCUCAUACUCCUCUCUGUUCCUUUACGGUAAGAUCAUACUCUCAGAAUUCAGAUCUUUAACAAGAUAUAAACCCUAAGUGAGCACCUAUCUUGUAGAUCUGUGUUCCGAUUUCUCCUUUAAACCUGUUGUUUUUGAGUUGUCUUGUAUUCCCUGAUGAACUAUUAUUCGUCUUUUCUCGAUAGGUUGCGUCUUGUUGUCUUAGUGCCUGAACCUAUAGUACUUUUUGCUUGUGUUGAUUCGUUAUCGUGAAUAUGACUUGUCCCGCCUAUUGCAGAUUCGUUUUCGUUUGCGGUUUAUCUUCGCACUCGUAGCUUCGGAGGCCUGUCUUGCCUCUUCUCUUAUACCUCUUACUCGCAUCAGGUAAGAAGUUUGGUUCAUAUCGCUUUAGUUUCAAAACUCUAUAGAUUAUCUUUUUGUUUAUUAAAGUUGAUUGGUAAAACCCUAAUAGCAACAACUGGAAUUUUGCUGAUAUUGUUACUUUGUGAUACGUUCUGUAUGAGUGUGCUAAAGUGUUACUUUUUGAUACGUUUGAGCUGUUUUAUCAACUUCAUAGUUGUUCUCUGUGCUUUGACUUGAUUCUGUUUCUGUUUCUUCAAGAAGUCGUUAUUUUUUUUGGGUGUGUAUAUAAAGCCUAUUUUGACUGUUUAUGGAUGGAAGAGCUAACAUUGCUCUUCUUCUUCUCUUUUGUGAGAUGCACUUUUGGUUGUAUUCGUUUUUGAAUCCAAAUGGACUCCAAGAAGUUCAUGCAGAUGGUGGAGGAGAAGAAACGGCAGAUUCUCGAGAAGAAGGAAGCUCCUCUGAAAUGGGAGCAGAAAC